UCGAGGAUCUUCGGCAAUGGGCGCAAGCCUGACCGAGCGACGCCGCGUGUGCGAUGAAGGCCUUCGGGUUGUAAAGCACUGUCGCGAGGGAGAAAGGGGGAAACCCUUGAUCGACCUCGGGAGGAAGCACGGGCUAAGUUCGUGCCAGCAGCCGCGGUAAGACGAACCGUGCGAACGUUGUUCGGAAUCACUGGGCUUAAAGGGCGCGUAGGCGGGUUCCUAAGUCUGGAGUGAAAGCCCACGGCUCAACCGUGGAAGCGCUUUGGAUACUGGGGGCCUCGAGGGAGGUAGGGGCGUGCGGAACUUCCGGUGGAGCGGUGAAAUGCGUAGAUAUCGGAAGGAACACCGGUGGCGAAAGCGGCGCGCUGGACCUCUUCUGACGCUGAGGCGCGAAAGCCAGGGGAGCAAACGG
This 412-nucleotide ribosomal RNA is filed under the name uncultured bacterium. RNAcentral's name for it is "bacterial SSU rRNA". It matches the Rfam family "Bacterial small subunit ribosomal RNA", at positions 355 to 775 of the family's 1533-position model. The record is from RNAcentral.